UACGGAGGGUGCAAGCGUUAAUCGGAAUUACUGGGCGUAAAGCGCGCGUAGGCGGCUUUGUCAGUCGGAUGUGAAAGCCCUGGGCUUAACCUGGGAAUUGCAUUCGAAACUACAGAGCUAGAGUAUGGUAGAGGGAAGUGGAAUUCCGGGUGUAGCGGUGAAAUGCGUAGAUAUCCGGAGGAACACCAGUGGCGAAGGCGACUUCCUGGGCCAAUACUGACGCUGAGGUGCGAAAGCGUGGGGAGCAAACAGG
RNAcentral lists this ribosomal RNA (253 nucleotides) under uncultured bacterium. Its description in RNAcentral is "partial 16S ribosomal RNA". It matches the Rfam family "Bacterial small subunit ribosomal RNA", at positions 524 to 776 of the family's 1533-position model. The record is from RNAcentral.